RNAcentral lists this unclassified non-coding RNA (487 nucleotides) under Hevea brasiliensis (rubber tree). The record is from RNAcentral. Lineage: Eukaryota; Viridiplantae; Streptophyta; Magnoliopsida; Malpighiales; Euphorbiaceae.
AGUUGACAAGGGUUUGGUUCCCCUUGCUGGUUCAAAUGAUGAGUCAUGGUGUCAGGGUCUUGAUGGACUUGCCUCGCGCUCUGCUGCAUACUACCAACAGGGAGCACGUUUCGCCAAAUGGCGUACCGUGGUGAGCAUUCCCAACGGACCAUCUGCAUUGGCUGUCAAGGAAGCAGCAUGGGGCUUGGCUCGCUACGCUGCCAUUUCUCAGGACAAUGGUUUGGUCCCAAUUGUGGAGCCAGAGAUCUUGUUGGACGGUGAACACGGCAUUGACAGGACUUUUGAGGUAGCACAGAAGGUCUGGGCUGAAGUCUUCUUCUACUUGGCUGAGAACAAUGUCAUGUUUGAGGGUAUCCUCUUGAAACCAAGCAUGGUUACUCCUGGUGCUGAAUGCAAAGACAGGGCCACUCCUCAGCAGGUCGCAGACUAUACUCUCAGUCUCCUCAAGAGGAGGAUUCCCCCAGCUGUCCCUGGAAUCAUGUUCUUG